CCCCUCAUGGCGUAGUGGUAACGCGCCCCAACUAGAGAUCGGGGAGUCGUGAGUUCGAUUCUCACUGAGAAGA
This is a non-coding RNA of Aedes aegypti (yellow fever mosquito), 73 nucleotides long. The record is from Rfam. Lineage: Eukaryota; Metazoa; Arthropoda; Insecta; Diptera; Culicidae.